Molecule: ribosomal RNA, 308 nt
Filed under: Escherichia coli
Lineage: Bacteria; Pseudomonadati; Pseudomonadota; Gammaproteobacteria; Enterobacterales; Enterobacteriaceae
Also listed under: 2 other names
Description: partial 16S ribosomal RNA
Rfam family: Bacterial small subunit ribosomal RNA
Source: RNAcentral
UAUACAAAGAGAAGCGACCUCGCGAGAGCAAGCGGACCUCAUAAAGUAUGUCGUAGUCCGGAUUGGAGUCUGCAACUCGACUCCAUGAAGUCGGAAUCGCUAGUAAUCGUAGAUCAGAAUGCUACGGUGAAUACGUUCCCGGGCCUUGUACACACCGCCCGUCACACCAUGGGAGUGGGUUGCAAAAGAAGUAGGUAGCUUAACCUUCGGGAGGGCGCUUACCACUUUGUGAUUCAUGACUGGGGUGAAGUCGUAACAAGGUAACCGUAGGGGAACCUGCGGUUGGAUCACCUCCUUACCUUAAAGAA